RNAcentral lists this ribosomal RNA (253 nucleotides) under uncultured bacterium. RNAcentral describes it as "partial 16S ribosomal RNA". It matches the Rfam family "Bacterial small subunit ribosomal RNA", at positions 524 to 776 of the family's 1533-position model. The record is from RNAcentral.
UACGUAGGGGGCAAGCGUUGUCCGGAAUCAUUGGGCGUAAAGAGCGUGUAGGCGGCUCGGUAAGUCCGUUCUGAAAGUCCAGGGCUCAACCCUGGGAUGCGGAUGGAUACUGCCGGGCUCGAGUCCGGAAGAGGCGAGUGGAAUUCCCGGUGUAGCGGUGGAAUGCGUAGAGAUCGGGAAGAACAUCAGUGGCGAAGGCGGUCUGCUGGGCCGUUGCUGACGCUGAGGAGCGAAAGCGUGGGGAGCGAACAGG